AGCCCAUUCAGCAUACCCAUCAAAGGCCCAGACAAUAAAUUUCAUGCUUCCUCUAUAAAUACAGAGCCAUAUUUUUUUCUGCAAGAAUUCAUCGGGUAAGAUUAGGGUUUAUGCGAGGUCGGCGCGGAGGCUUAUCCUUUUGUUUUGGUUAUCAGUUUUAGUGAUUUAUGUGUGAGAAGGCAUAGGUAGAUGCGAUGACGAUUGUAGAAAAGAGGAAAAUCAUGAUUGUGGGUCGGUUUAGCAGCUGCUCCGCAAGAUGAAUCUCUUGUUUUGGGGAGCCUUGGAAUUUUGUAAACCAGGCGAUAGUGAAAGGCAUUUGUAAUUACAUCAAGAAAUGACACUGGUGUAAAAAUCGCUUACUUCCAUUCUGCACGUUAAUUUAUUGCUAUUUGGAGCUUACUAAGUAAGACGCCCAUAUCUCACCUGCUGGAGGCGGCAGCUGAACCCAAUGGCCUGGGAUGCGAUUGCAACAAAGUGGCCCGGAGUCAGACAAGCACAUACGAUUAACAGAGUAUCGAAUUUCUUAUGAGCUUUUGUAUCUUCUUCCACAAAAUCUUAAUCAAGUUGUUCACCAUAAUGCAGUAAUCAUGUUUAAAUAGAAAGGCCAAAAGACUUAUUCCCA
Long non-coding RNA from Mangifera indica (mango), 622 nucleotides. RefSeq lists it as uncharacterized. The record is from RefSeq and is a predicted model, not a curated record. The transcript has 2 exons. NCBI's taxonomy places the organism in Eukaryota, Viridiplantae, Streptophyta, Magnoliopsida, Sapindales, Anacardiaceae.